This 497-nucleotide ribosomal RNA is filed under the name uncultured bacterium. Its description in RNAcentral is "partial 16S ribosomal RNA". It matches the Rfam family "Bacterial small subunit ribosomal RNA", at positions 28 to 507 of the family's 1533-position model. The record is from RNAcentral.
GAUGAACGCUGGCGGCGUGCCUAAUACAUGCAAGUCGAGCGAACAGACGAGGAGCUUGCUCCUCUGACGUUAGCGGCGGACGGGUGAGUAACACGUGGAUAACCUACCUAUACGACUGGGAUAACUUCGGGAAACCGGAGCUACUACCGGAUAAUAUAUUGAACCGCAUGGUUCAAUAGUGAAAUACGGUUUUGCUGUCACUUAUAGAUGGAUCCGCGCCUGAUUAGCUAGUUGGUAAGGUAACGGCUUACCAAGGCAACGCUGCGUAGCCGACCUGACAGGGUGUACGGCCACACUGGAGCUGAGACACGGUCCAGACUCCUACGGGAGGCAGCAGUAGGGAAUCUUCCGCAAUGGGCGAAAGCCUGACGGAGCAGCGCCGCGUGAGUGAUGAAGGUCUUCGGAUCGUAAAACUCUGUUAUUAGGGAAGAACAAAUGUGUAAGUAACUAUGCACGUCUUGACGGUACCUAAUCAGAAAGCCACGGCUAACUACGUG